Triplophysa rosa is the source of this 829-nucleotide long non-coding RNA. RefSeq lists it as uncharacterized. The record is from RefSeq and is a predicted model, not a curated record. The transcript is spliced from 4 exons. NCBI's taxonomy places the organism in Eukaryota, Metazoa, Chordata, Actinopteri, Cypriniformes, Nemacheilidae.
CCGUUGUGGAAAAGUCAUUAAGCUCCUGUCAAAACUGCUGUAUGUGGAUGCUGUGAGACACAAGAACAGAAACUACUUUCAGAGAAGUGUGUGUGUCAUAAAUUAUACAGGUGGAGAGUUUGACCAGUGGCCUGUGGCAGAGUGUGUAUAAGUCUGAGACAGAAGGAAAUCACCUUUGGUCAGUUUGGGAGUAAAAUUUCAGCAAAACCACUUUACUAAAUCCCAGAUUCGGAAUCCAAGAUAGCUGUUUUACUGUUUUACUCAGCACGGCUGUGAUGUGGCAGUAGGUGCAAGGCCAAAGGAAAGAUUAAAAAUAUUCCAAAAGAAACCAAAGCAUCAAGUUUUGCAGCCAAGCAAUGCAUGGACCGGAUGCGAAAGGAAUGGAGUGAUAAUUUUCUCUCCAAGAGUUAUUAAAAUCAGCAAUUCUCAGACGUUUGACAGGUAUAAUCUCGAGACCCAACAAAAUAUUUUGAAAUGGAAGUAAGGUGAGAAAAUGCACAUUUGUCCUAUUUUAGUUUUUAUUUUACCUCUUAAAUAAACGAAAUUCAAGUUGCAAUACCAAACUACCAUAGGUGGAGUUUCACUUUCGGGCUACCGUGGAGCUGUGGCGCUGGAUGAUGUCACACGCUAAUUAACAUAUUCAUAACGUCAUUGCGUAGUUUUGAAGUUGUUACUUUCUACUCUCUGAACAGUCUGUAUUUAUAUAUUUAUUCAGUAACUAAUAAUUAUGUAUACAGAAUGUAUACGAACAAUAAAAAUAAUGAUACACGCUUUUGCCUACAUUACAGUGUACAUCAACUUUAAAUGGCAUUUUAUAGACUUUGUAAUU